AAGUGUUUCUCCAUUUAUCAGCUAGAGACGGAGACAGAAAAAACGAGCAAAAAAGUGGAAGUAAAGACACCUGCGCACUCGGAAAAAGAAAAGAAGGCUUACUGGUUGCGUCUAAUUGAAAGCACUCGUCGACUUUUUGUUGCUUUUCACGAAAUAGUGCGUGUGCGCAGGAGACAAAUCCGGGGCUUUUGCAGAGAGAAAACGUGUUGAAAUGAUGUUAUCAGCAGAAAUCGAUAGUGAUACAGGCAAAGGCGCGCUCGACUGUGAACUUAGGAGUGAAGGGCGUUUCUCGAACGGACAACAGCUGUUUCAAUAGAAUACGUCGACAGAGAACUG
Molecule: non-coding RNA, 336 nt
Organism: Caenorhabditis elegans
Lineage: Eukaryota; Metazoa; Nematoda; Chromadorea; Rhabditida; Rhabditidae
Source: Ensembl